RNAcentral lists this ribosomal RNA (1343 nucleotides) under bacterium. RNAcentral describes it as "bacterial SSU rRNA". It matches the Rfam family "Bacterial small subunit ribosomal RNA". The record is from RNAcentral.
CAUUCGAAAGGAUGGGUAAUACUGCAUAAUCCCGCAAGGGGAAAGCCUUAACUGGGCACUGAAAGAUGAGCCGGCGGCCUAUCAGCUAGUUGGUGGGGUAAUGGCCCACCAAGGCUAUGACGGGUAGGGGGUGUGAGAGCACGGCCCCCCAGAAUAGGACUGAGACACGGCCUAUACACCUACGGGUGGCAGCAACUGGGAAUCGUACGCAAUGGACGCAAGUCUGACGUCGCGACGCCGCGUGGAGGAUGACAGCCCUCGGGUUGUAAACUCCUUUUGACCGAGCAGCAAUGCCGGUAGAAUAAGCACCUGCUAACUACGUGCCAGAAGCCUCGGUAAUGCGUAGGGUGCAAGCGUUGUCCGGAUUUACUGGGCGUAAAGAGUCUGUAGGCGGUAGGGAACGUCUUGUGUGAAAGGCUCCGGCUUAACCGGAGUUGGUCACAAGAUACGGCCUUACUCGAGUUUUUUCGGGGGUACUGGAACUGUUGGAGUAGGGGUGAAAUCCGUUGAUACCAACAGGAACACCGACGGCGAAGGCGGGUACCUAGAAAAAUACUGACGCUGAGAGACGACAGCUAGGGGAGCGAAAGGGAUUAGAGACCCCUGUAGUCCUAGCCGUAAACUAUGCUCGCUAGGGAUAGGGCUCGCAGAGGAUAGAAGAUUGGUGAUUAGUUAAAUAGUUGAUUAGGAAACUAAUAAACUAAUAUCUAAUUUGCUAAUUAACUUGUAUCUUUUGUGAGCUCUGUUCCGCAAGCUAACGCAUUAAGCGAGCCGCCUGGGGAGUACGGUCGCAAGACUAAAACUCAAAGGAAUUGACGGGAGAGCGCACAACCAGUGGAGCAUGUGGUUUAAUUCGAUACGAACCGAAGGACCUCACCCAGGCUUGACAUCCAACUGCAAGCCCGAAGAAACUCGGGCCCCUUUCGAAGGUGUUGGACAGGUGUUGCAUGGCUGUCGUCAGCUCGUGCCGUAGGGUGUCCUCUUAAGUGAGGUAACGAGCGCAACCCCUGCUGUAUGUUAAAUAUUCAUACGGGACUGCCCCGCCUAUGGCGGGGAGGAAGGAGGGGACGACGUCAAGUCAGCAUGGCCCUUAUGCCUGGGGCCACACACAUGCUACAAUGACGCUUAACAAUGGGUUGCCAACCAGCAAUGGGGAGCUAAUCCCAUCAAACAGCGUCUCAGGGGGGAUUGUAGUCUGAAACCCGACUACAUGAACGCGGAAUUGGUAGUAAUCGCGGGUCAGCUAUACCGCGGUGAAUACGUUCUCGCUCUUUGUACACACCGCCGAUUUAUUUCGCGCGUGGCAGUAUAUAUCGCUAGUAGGUUAAAAUCCUACCUUCUAA